ACUUGGCUGGCUCAGUUGGUAGAGCAUGUGACUCUUGAUCCCACACUUGUGAGUUUGAACCCCGUGUUGGGUA
This 73-nucleotide transfer RNA is filed under the name Canis lupus familiaris (dog). It matches the Rfam family "tRNA". Rfam says of the family: Transfer RNA (tRNA) molecules are approximately 80 nucleotides in length. Their secondary structure includes four short double-helical elements and three loops (D, anti-codon, and T loops). Lineage: Eukaryota; Metazoa; Chordata; Mammalia; Carnivora; Canidae. The record is from Rfam by way of RNAcentral. RNAcentral also lists the same sequence under 1 other name.